Molecule: ribosomal RNA, 253 nt
Filed under: uncultured bacterium
Lineage: Bacteria
Description: partial 16S ribosomal RNA
Rfam family: Bacterial small subunit ribosomal RNA
Source: RNAcentral
UACGGAGGGUGCAAGCGUUAUCCGGAUUUACUGGGUUUAAAGGGUGCGUAGGUGGACAGGAAAGUCAGUGGUGAAAUCUUCGAGCUUAACUCGGAAACUGCCAUUGAUACUAUUUGUCUUGAAUACUUUGGAGGUAAGCGGAAUAUGUCAUGUAGCGGUGACUUUCUUAGAUAUGACAUAGAACACCAAUUGCGAAGGCAGCUUACUACUCUCUUAUUGACACUGAGGCACGAAAGCGUGGGGAUCAAACAGG